CUUGCGGCCAUAUCGCGUUGAAAAUCCAUUCCCAUACGAUCACAGAAGUUAAGCAAUGUCGAACUUGGUCAGUACCAAGGUGGGUGGUCGGUUGGGAAUAACAAGCGCAGUA
Non-coding RNA from Acanthosepion pharaonis, 112 nucleotides. The record is from the annotation of a GenBank genome assembly. Lineage: Eukaryota; Metazoa; Mollusca; Cephalopoda; Sepiida; Sepiidae.